UAGGGAAUCUUCCGCAAUGGACGCAAGUCUGACGGAGCAACGCCGCGUGAGUGAAGAAGGAUUUCGGUUCGUAAAACUCUGUUGUUAGAGAAGAACAGCGCAUAGAGUAACUGUUAUGCGUGUGACGGUAUCUAACCAGAAAGCCACGGCUAACUACGUGCCAGCAGCCGCGGUAAUACGUAGGUGGCAAGCGUUGUCCGGAUUUAUUGGGCGUAAAGCGAGCGCAGGCGGUCGAUUAAGUCUGAUGUGAAAGCCCCCGGCUCAACCGGGGAGGGUCAUUGGAAACUGGUUGACUUGAGUGCAGAAGAGGAGAGUGGAAUUCCAUGUGUAGCGGUGAAAUGCGUAGAUAUAUGGGGGAACACCAGUGGCGAAGGCGACUCUCUGGUCUGUAACUGACGCUGAGGCUCGAAAGCGUGGGUAGCAAACAGG
RNAcentral lists this ribosomal RNA (429 nucleotides) under Bacteroidota bacterium. RNAcentral describes it as "Bacteroidetes bacterium partial 16S ribosomal RNA". It matches the Rfam family "Bacterial small subunit ribosomal RNA", at positions 355 to 776 of the family's 1533-position model. Lineage: Bacteria; Pseudomonadati; Bacteroidota. The record is from RNAcentral.